AAAAAUUGGGUGUGUGUUAAAGGGAAAAAAGAAAUAGUUGACAUUGUUGAAAGUGUCAACAACAAUAAUGUUGAAAUACUAAAACCAUUAAAUAACUCGGAUGUUCCCGAGGUCAACCAAAAUAAUAAUAUUCACAUAAAUAGUAAUAAUAAAUCCAUAUUUCACACAAAUGAUUGUGAAGAAAAAAAACAGCAUGUAUUUAAUUUGUUACAUGAUAAAAACAUUAAGAGGGAAGAAAUUGCUAUACAAAGUACCAAUUCUAAAGAAGAGAAAUUAAUUGAUUGGAAUUCUUUAUUUUCAAACAAUACUAAAAAAGUAAAAGAAAAUGGUUCUCUGUUUAGUAAUUCUAUAAGUGAAAAAUUAUUAAGUACAAAUAUAGCACAAACUGAAUGUUAUCAACAUAUACCAGUUAGUAACGCAAAUAUAAAUAAUAAUAUAUAUAGUAAGUUAAUAACACAAAAUAAUACAUCUCAUGUGAAAGAAAACGGACCUAAUGGAUAUGAUAAGCUAAUUAAAUUUAAUAAACCAAAUAAAAGUCAUAAUAAAAAUGUACUAGUCACUGAAAAGAAUAAUAAGAAACUACCAAGUUAUUAUAUAUGUUUAAUAGAAGAUGAUGAAGAUUGUGGAAAAGAUUAUUUAUAUGAACAUGCUAAAAAGAUGUAUAAAAAAUAUGAACAAAGUAAACAAAAUGAACAAAGUGAGAGUAAAUUAGAAGGGGAAGAAUACAUAAAUACAAAGAAAAAUGACAAUAGCAUAAGCAAUAGUAUUUAUGAUGAAGAAGAAUGCUUUGAAAAUGAUUUUAAUGGCUGUGUAAAACUUUUUUCUUACUUAAGCAAAAAUUAUAAUCAAAUAUUAAGAUAUUCAUAUAAAGGGAAAUUUUUAUAUAUGUAUAAAGCAACAAAGAAUUCCUUAAAAAAAAAUAUGAUUUGCACACAAUGCAAAAAUAAAUUAGUAUUUGAAGUGCAAUUUUUUUCUACAUUCGUUUAUCAAAUAGAACAAAAAGUAAAAGCAGAAAAAAAUUCUUUUCUAAAAAAUAUGUUAAAUAAUUUUAAUGUAGGAAAUGUUAUUAUAUUCACUUGUGAACAGGAUUGUGUUGUUAUUGAUGAUAUGUAUUCAUAUGAGCAUAUUGAGCUAGAAAUUUUUUAA
This 1146-nucleotide long non-coding RNA is filed under the name Piliocolobus tephrosceles (Ugandan red Colobus). RNAcentral's name for it is "lncRNA (ENSPTEG00000010586.1)". Lineage: Eukaryota; Metazoa; Chordata; Mammalia; Primates; Cercopithecidae. The record is from RNAcentral.